GUGCUCGCUUUGGCAGCACAUGUGCUAAAGUUGGAACCAUAAAGAGAAUAUUAGCACUCCCCCUGCCCAAGGAUGACACGUAAAUUUGUGAAGUGUUUCAUAUUUUA
Small nuclear RNA from Talpa occidentalis (Iberian mole), 107 nucleotides. The record is from RefSeq and is a predicted model, not a curated record. Lineage: Eukaryota; Metazoa; Chordata; Mammalia; Eulipotyphla; Talpidae.